RNAcentral lists this ribosomal RNA (253 nucleotides) under uncultured bacterium. RNAcentral describes it as "partial 16S ribosomal RNA". It matches the Rfam family "Bacterial small subunit ribosomal RNA", at positions 524 to 776 of the family's 1533-position model. The record is from RNAcentral.
UACAGAGGGUGCAAGCGUUAAUCGGAAUUACUGGGCGUAAAGCGCAUGUAGGUGGUUUGAUAAGUUUGAUGUGAAAGCCCCGGGCUUAACCUGGGAAUGGCAUUGAAUACUGUGAGACUUGAGUCGGAUAGAGGGCAGUGGAAUUUCCGGUGUAGCGGUGAAAUGCGUAGAGAUCGGAAAGAACAUCAGUGGCGAAGGCGUCUGCCUGGAUCCAGACUGACACUUAAGUGCGAAAGCGUGGGGAGCAAACAGG